AGAGAGCGGUGAGAAUAGUGAUAAUGCCUCCGCAACUUCAUCAAUCUUCACUUCCUAUUCUAAAUCCUCUACUCAGAUUCUCACCUCCUUCCUCUCCUGAUGAUCACAAACACCAGAGAGAAUCAAAGAUCAAGAUGCCAAAGUUCACUGUGCGUAAACUCAUACCUCUUUUUAUCUUUGUUCUUUCAAGCCUCUCCGUUCUCCGACUCCUCCGGAUUUCAUACAAGUCUUCAUCCUCUGCUUCUAGGUCCUCAUCUUCAACCACAUAUCGUGUGAGUCCAUCUGAGUUCAGUCAGCAGCUCAGGGCUAAUGAGGGCCCAAGUGCUCUCACGGAAAAGGAACUGAAGCUCUUAUCAGAUACUGUUACUCGUAGAUCCCCUUGCAACGUUCUUGUUUUCGGGUUUGCACCUCAAUACCUCAUGUUAUCUUCAAUCAACACUAGAGGUAUUACCGUCAUUCUAGAAGAUGAGCCUGCAGAGAUAAUGAUACCAAAAGCUAAAGUAAACCCAAACAACACAAGAAUCUACAGCUUAAAAUACCAUCAGAUGGAAAUGAAAAAUGCUUACAAUCUGCUUCGACAUACUCGAGCCAAUCCUGCAUGCGCACCUAAGAUGAAUAAUCUACAACAAGGUUCAUCACAAUGCAAAAUGGAACUGAGGGAUUUGCCACUGGAAGUACACAAUAUCAAAUGGGAUGUGAUAGUUGUUGAUGGACCUCGUGGGGACAACUUAGAGGCACCAGGUAGGAUGGGGAGCAUAUAUACUGCAGCUGUGUUAGCAAGAGAAGGAAGUAAUAA
RNAcentral lists this long non-coding RNA (796 nucleotides) under Capsella rubella. RNAcentral describes it as "long non-coding RNA (CRUB_LNC001397)". Lineage: Eukaryota; Viridiplantae; Streptophyta; Magnoliopsida; Brassicales; Brassicaceae. The record is from RNAcentral.